Passer montanus (Eurasian tree sparrow) is the source of this 619-nucleotide long non-coding RNA. RefSeq lists it as uncharacterized. Lineage: Eukaryota; Metazoa; Chordata; Aves; Passeriformes; Passeridae. The transcript is spliced from 3 exons. The record is from RefSeq and is a predicted model, not a curated record.
AACACAUCUCUGGGGAAAUCAGGGCUGGGAUCUGUAUCUCCUCUGGAAGGCUGAAGCCUCCACAGACUCUCCAGAUCUUAUUCUGUUGGACCUGGUCUACCUGCUUGUCUGCCCAGGCCCAAGUAGCCAUUUGUGCAGUGGUUGCCAGUUCUGCUCAGCUGGGUGCUGCUAGGACAUAGAAGGAGCUGGGGCUGGUUGCGCCAGAGGUGUGGUUCCUGUUUGCUGAGACCUAACCAAGGGCCUUACCUAAAGAUGACCUGGAGCCCAGUCAAGCCCUUGAGGUAUUGGUACCAAACUGCUGUGGAGAGGCAUGGGGCUUCCCACUUGAGGGGAACACCACAGUACUGAUACUCUGCCUUACUCCAGCUCUGUCAGUCUAGCUGUGAACUCUUUGCAGCUGCAUACUCCUCGAAUCACAGAGCCCCAAGCUCAAGUAUAUGACUUGUCAGGUCCCAUAACUCCUCAGUGAAGUUUUGAUUUUUCCAUGUGUUGAAAGAUAGCACAUCUCUUUCUAUUUCCUAGCAUGGCCAUAGAUGUAUCCUUCCUUCCACAAAGUGGUAUAGAGUGAUUUGCAUUCACUUUGUUAUGCUGUGUCUAAAUAUGUGUGUCUUGACUAUAU